CUUCGGUGUCACGGACAGUCGCACUCGCUUUUAGUCACUGGCGAAGUUUCCUCUGCCCGCCCGCCAACUCCCACCGCCCGCCCCGCCUCUAUUCCCCGGCCAGAAACCCAAGCACAAAAGAGUAUUUGAAGAGAGCAGCUCGGAAACGGGAGAUUGCAGUGCCAGGCCGAGAACUGAGCAGGGAGAAUAACCUGUCUGCUAG
This 202-nucleotide long non-coding RNA is filed under the name Callithrix jacchus (white-tufted-ear marmoset). Its description in RNAcentral is "lncRNA (ENSCJAG00000078479.1)". The record is from RNAcentral. Lineage: Eukaryota; Metazoa; Chordata; Mammalia; Primates; Cebidae.